This 1518-nucleotide ribosomal RNA is filed under the name Phocaeicola massiliensis B84634 = Timone 84634 = DSM 17679 = JCM 13223. RNAcentral's name for it is "bacterial SSU rRNA". It matches the Rfam family "Bacterial small subunit ribosomal RNA". Lineage: Bacteria; Pseudomonadati; Bacteroidota; Bacteroidia; Bacteroidales; Bacteroidaceae. The record is from RNAcentral.
AGAGUUUGAUCCUGGCUCAGGAUGAACGCUAGCUACAGGCUUAACACAUGCAAGUCGAGGGGCAGCAUGGUCUUAGCUUGCUAAGACCGAUGGCGACCGGCGCACGGGUGAGUAACGCGUAUCCAACCUGCCUUACACUCUUGGACAGCCUUCUGAAAGGGAGAUUAAUACAAGAUGUUAUCAUGAGUAAGCAUUUUCGCAUGAUUAAAGGUUUACCGGUGUAAGAUGGGGAUGCGUUCCAUUAGAUAGUAGGCGGGGUAACGGCCCACCUAGUCUUCGAUGGAUAGGGGUUCUGAGAGGAAGGUCCCCCACAUUGGAACUGAGACACGGUCCAAACUCCUACGGGAGGCAGCAGUGAGGAAUAUUGGUCAAUGGACGAGAGUCUGAACCAGCCAAGUAGCGUGAAGGAUGAAGGUUCUAUGGAUUGUAAACUUCUUUUAUACGGGAAUAAACGGAUCCACGUGUGGAUUUUUGCAUGUACCGUAUGAAUAAGGAUCGGCUAACUCCGUGCCAGCAGCCGCGGUAAUACGGAGGAUCCGAGCGUUAUCCGGAUUUAUUGGGUUUAAAGGGAGCGUAGAUGGGUUGUUAAGUCAGUUGUGAAAGUUUGCGGCUCAACCGUAAAAUUGCAAUUGAUACUGGCAGUCUUGAGUACAGUUGAGGUAGGCGGAAUUCGUGGUGUAGCGGUGAAAUGCUUAGAUAUCACGAAGAACUCCGAUUGCGAAGGCAGCUUACUAACCUGUAACUGACAUUGAUGCUCGAAAGUGUGGGUAUCAAACAGGAUUAGAUACCCUGGUAGUCCACACGGUAAACGAUGAAUACUCGCUGUAGGCGAUAUACGGUCUGUGGCCAAGCGAAAGCAUUAAGUAUUCCACCUGGGGAGUACGCCGGCAACGGUGAAACUCAAAGGAAUUGACGGGGGCCCGCACAAGCGGAGGAACAUGUGGUUUAAUUCGAUGAUACGCGAGGAACCUUACCCGGGCUUAAAUUGCAACCGAAUAUGGCGGAAACGCUAUAGCUAGCAAUAGCGGUUGUGAAGGUGCUGCAUGGUUGUCGUCAGCUCGUGCCGUGAGGUGUCGGCUUAAGUGCCAUAACGAGCGCAACCCUUGCCGAUAGUUACUAACAGGUCAUGCUGAGGACUCUGUCGGGACUGCCAUCGUAAGAUGUGAGGAAGGUGGGGAUGACGUCAAAUCAGCACGGCCCUUACGUCCGGGGCUACACACGUGUUACAAUGGGGGGUACAGAGGGCUGCUACCACGCAAGUGGAUGCCAAUCCCAAAAACCUCUCUCAGUUCGGAUUGAAGUCUGCAACCCGACUUCAUGAAGCUGGAUUCGCUAGUAAUCGCGCAUCAGCCACGGCGCGGUGAAUACGUUCCCGGGCCUUGUACACACCGCCCGUCAAGCCAUGGGAGCCGGGGGUACCUGAAGUGCGUAACCGCAAGGAGCGCCCUAGGGUAAAACUGGUGACUGGGGCUAAGUCGUAACAAGGUAGCCGUACCGGAAGGUGCGGCUGGAACACCU